AUAUGGAUUGAAGAAUGAAUAAGAGAUAUUACCAAAUCAUUAUUUCAAUUUCUUCAGAAUUCAUGAGGACCUUCAAGAUGGCUGACUAGAUGCAUCUGACACUCACCUCUUCCAUGGAAGGGAAACAAAAUAGUGAGUGGAUAAGCACACUAUGAAUAGAUCAUCUAAGAGAGAACACUGGAAUUCAACACCGAAGUGACAGGAAGCACCCAAAGCAGGAAAGGAGAGGCGAGCAAGGCAGCCUGCUCAACCAGCAUUGGUGGAGAGCCUGGAGAGA
This 277-nucleotide long non-coding RNA is filed under the name Homo sapiens (human). RNAcentral describes it as "HSALNT0063284". Lineage: Eukaryota; Metazoa; Chordata; Mammalia; Primates; Hominidae. The record is from RNAcentral.